CGCAUCUGUGCAUGCAGCAUAUCAAUAAGCGGAGGAAAAGAAACUAACAAGGAUUCCCCUAGUAACGGCGAGUGAAGCGGGAAGAGCUCAAAUUUGAAAUCUUAAAGGGUUUCCCUUUACGAAUUGUAGUUUAAAGAAGUGUUUUCUGUUGAGGUUUUGGUAAAAGUUCUUUGGAAUAGGACAUCAUAGAGGGUGAGAAUCCCGUAUUUGACCUUUACUUUCAACUUUGUGAUACACUUUCAAAGAGUCGGAUUGUUUGGGAAUGCAGUCCAAAAUGGGUGGUAAAUUUCAUCUAAAGCUAAAUAUUGGCGAGAGACCGAUAGCGAACAAGUACCGUGAGGGAAAGAUGAAAAGAACUUUGAAAAGAGAGUUAAACAGUACGUGAAAUUGUCAAAAGGGAAGCGCUUGACACCAGUGUUGUUUUUUUGAAAAUCAAUUAAAGAACUGUUUAUGCUAAGCUGUUUAGACUUUAUCAGCUAACUGUUUAGUUUUGAGCUUUUCUUUAAUGCACUUUUCAGUUAACAAGUCAACAUCAAUUUCUUUUGCUGUAAAAAAGCUUGAGGAAGGUGGCUUGAGAUUCGUCUUAAGUGUUUAUAGCCUCUUGCCUAUGCAGUCGGAGAGAUUGAGGUCUGCAGCGUAGAUCCUUCGGGGCUAAAUGCAUUUGUGCUAAGUUAUAGCAUUUUAUAGACAACUUGUUGACUAUGAUUUGUCUUGUAGCUUACUCGCUUAUGUUAUUUUACCUACGCUUAGGAUGUUGACAGCAGUAUAGACUGU
Molecule: ribosomal RNA, 774 nt
Filed under: uncultured Neocallimastigales
Lineage: Eukaryota; Fungi; Neocallimastigomycota; Neocallimastigomycetes; Neocallimastigales
Description: partial large subunit ribosomal RNA
Rfam family: Eukaryotic large subunit ribosomal RNA
Source: RNAcentral